UACGUAGGGUGCAAGCGUUGUCCGGAAUUAUUGGGCGUAAAGAGCUCGUAGGCGGUUUGUUGCGUCGGCUGUGAAAUCCCGAGGCUCAACCUCGGGUCUGCAGUCGAUACGAGCAAACUAGAGUGUUGCAGGGGAGACUGGAAUUCCUGGUGUAGCGGUGAAAUGCGCAGAUAUCAGGAGGAACACCGGUGGCGAGGGCGGGUCUCUGGGCAACAACUGACGCUGAGGCGCGAAAGCGUGGGGAGCAAACAGG
RNAcentral lists this ribosomal RNA (253 nucleotides) under uncultured bacterium. RNAcentral's name for it is "partial 16S ribosomal RNA". It matches the Rfam family "Bacterial small subunit ribosomal RNA", at positions 524 to 776 of the family's 1533-position model. The record is from RNAcentral.